RNAcentral lists this ribosomal RNA (468 nucleotides) under Triticum aestivum (bread wheat). Its description in RNAcentral is "partial small subunit ribosomal RNA". The record is from RNAcentral. Lineage: Eukaryota; Viridiplantae; Streptophyta; Magnoliopsida; Poales; Poaceae.
AUGCUUAUCCUUCCCUACGUUGUUCAAACGAUCCUGAGGGAGAACAAGACCGUCUCGAAAGCUUUACGGGAUGACAACUGGAUCCGCAGCCUCGGUAAUGGGAGGUGGGAGGAUAUAGCUCAAGAAGUGGCUUGGGCCGCUGGCAAGAUCAAGAUCUUCUCGUGGCUGCUGCAUUGGAACAGAGUGUGGUGCAACGGUAGAUUGCAACGUCGAGGAUGGCCUAACUCUUACUUCUGUCACCUCUGCUUGAGAAACCUGGAGUCCUCUACCCACCUCUUCUGGAACUGCACCUUCUCGCGCGCAAUCUGGAACGAGGUGGCAACGUGGAAAGGUUGUGCAUCGCUCUCAGCUCCACAAGAGAACCGUGUUUGCACGCCUUCGGUGGUCAAGGCUAUGCUUGCAGCGACAGGCAGAGAAGAAAGAAGGGGCGCAAAAACCAUGAUCAUAAAAGAAAGCAAUCUCACAUGA